This 468-nucleotide ribosomal RNA is filed under the name uncultured bacterium. RNAcentral's name for it is "partial 16S ribosomal RNA". It matches the Rfam family "Bacterial small subunit ribosomal RNA", at positions 28 to 507 of the family's 1533-position model. The record is from RNAcentral.
GACGAACGCUGGCGGCGUGCUUAACACAUGCAAGUCGAACGGAAAGGCCCUGCUUUUGUGGGGUGCUCGAGUGGCGAACGGGUGAGUAACACGUGAGUAACCUGCCCUUGACUUUGGGAUAACUUCAGGAAACUGGGGCUAAUACCGGAUAGGAGCUCCUGCUGCAUGGUGGGGGUUGGAAAGUUUCGGCGGUUGGGGAUGGACUCGCGGCUUAUCAGCUUGUUGGUGGGGUAGUGGCUUACCAAGGCUUUGACGGGUAGCCGGCCUGAGAGGGUGACCGGGCACAUUGGGACUGAGAUACGGCCCAGACUCGUACGGGAGGCAGCAGGGGGGAAUAUUGCACAAUGGGCGGAAGCCUGAUGCAGCAACGCCGCGUGCGGGAUGACGGCCUUCGGGUUGUAAACCGCUUUCGCCUGUGACGAAGCGUGAGUGACGGUAAUGGGUAAAGAAGCACCGGCUAACUACGUG